Molecule: long non-coding RNA, 839 nt
Filed under: Triticum aestivum (bread wheat)
Lineage: Eukaryota; Viridiplantae; Streptophyta; Magnoliopsida; Poales; Poaceae
Description: long non-coding RNA (TAES_LNC017410)
Source: RNAcentral
ACACAAUUUUUGUUGUACAUCAGCUGGAAUCACCAAGUAAUAAACAUAUCAUAAAAAUAAACUUUCAGCUGGUCGAUCUGCAUUAAGUCUGAUGUACUACCUCCAUUCCUAAAUAUAUGAUGCUGGGGCAGUUUAAUUGAGGUAGUAUGACUCGCCGGAAAAUAACUGAAAUACUCAGUGGUUACUCUUGAUUCAGCUCCAAAGUUCAGAGAAAAAUAUGUGCUUGCAGUGAAAUCUGAAAUGUUGGUAGUCCGGCAUCAUGCAGAAUCAAGGUAAACCCUCACCGUGUUGUAAGCUCAAUCUGAAGUUUACAUUGGUGCACGUCAGCCUUAUCGAGCAACAGCUCUGACAGACAAACAUAGCAGAGAAAUGCAAGUUUAGAGAUAUAUCAGUAGCAAACACAAAAGAAAUCAUAUUAACAACUUCAUUCAGCACCAUUCCGCAGUUUCCCAGGUUGACUUAUCAAAUAGAAUUAGUAAGUAGGCACGCCCAAUAACAAAGUGCUGAAAGAUACAACCUUUGAUGUAGGAAUUGUGGGAACUCAUUUUCUAGUUAUUCUAGAGAGUCGGAUGAACACCGCGAGCCACAGAAACUGUGAGAAACCCAUCCACCUCUUCUCCGGCCUUCACGGCCGCCGCAACAACGUGCCUGAUGCGCCUUCCUUAGCGCCCCUCCUACUGGAGUGACACCUGUCCAAGAUUGGAGGACCACAAGAAUUUUAAUCAGAAAUUGAUAUGAAUUUCCUCACAAAUAGAGUGCUAAGAAACCAUUAAAAAUCCAAUGAAUUCGAAUCCUACAAAUCACUCGAUCUGCAGAGCGCUAAGGCACCUUAAUUGCAG